RNAcentral lists this long non-coding RNA (314 nucleotides) under Phoenix dactylifera (date palm). RNAcentral describes it as "long non-coding RNA (PDAC_LNC016389)". Lineage: Eukaryota; Viridiplantae; Streptophyta; Magnoliopsida; Arecales; Arecaceae. The record is from RNAcentral.
AAGGAAAAGAAGAAAGGAAGAGGAAGGAGAUCCCGGUUGCGCUGCCAGCUGAAGGAAAAAGUGUAGAUCUCCUUCCCCUCUACGCAAGGACCUCGAUUUUCAAAAAGAAAAAGAUAAAUAUCCGUCCCUAUCUAGUCUUUUGAUGACAUUAGGCUAUACAAAGGGUGGAUAUAGUCUAGAGGAGUCGAAUAAGGGUUGUAGAGGCGGUUAAAAGAGGAAGAAUCGGAUUUUGACAAAUUUUUCCGGCACUACGGAAAAACUGUGUCGAAGUCCCAACUUCGGCGAAUUAUUUAGGGGGUCAAACGACCUCCGAU